RNAcentral lists this ribosomal RNA (283 nucleotides) under archaeon 13_1_20CM_2_54_9. RNAcentral describes it as "partial 23S ribosomal RNA". It matches the Rfam family "Archaeal large subunit ribosomal RNA", at positions 2613 to 2895 of the family's 2987-position model. The record is from RNAcentral.
AUCCUGGGUCCGCAGCAGGACCCAAGGGCGCGCCUGUUCGGCGAUCAAAGGGGAAUGCGAGAUGGGUUUAGACCGUCGCGAGACAGGUCGGACUCUACCUGCUGGGACUGUUGGUUGCCUGAGGGGAAGGCGCCCCUAGUACGAGAGGAACGGGGUAUCGCAGCCUCUAGUUUACCGGUUGUUCGACAGGGCACUGCCGGGCAGCCACGCUGUCGGGGAUAAGGGCUGAAAGCAUCUAAGCCCGAAACCCCUCCCGAAAAUAGGCAACCGUUCCGGCCCACUU